This is a long non-coding RNA of Phodopus roborovskii (desert hamster), 365 nucleotides long. RefSeq lists it as uncharacterized. The record is from RefSeq and is a predicted model, not a curated record. Lineage: Eukaryota; Metazoa; Chordata; Mammalia; Rodentia; Cricetidae. The transcript is spliced from 2 exons.
GCAUUUGCAACUUUCCCUCCUCGCGACAGCAGCUGCAAGUGACCUCCUGAAAAUGAACCCUUCUCCCAGUGGUGCCGGCCUGUAUCACCAUGCCACUCACACAUAACUGACAUUGAGAAGAAGGUUCUAUGAAGGCUGGAGUCUGGUGAAAGUUAUGUGUGUUAUCAGCUGCCAAUCUCUGUCCUGGCAGAUACCGCUUCUUGCCCUGGGAACCUUCGCUGAUUUGAGGUGGUGGGAAGCUAUGGUGAAGAAUAAAAUCAAUGCCCACAGCACUGUGGUUGGCACUAUAUACCAUCAGCUCCUUCAUGGAGAUGAAGGUUUUGUUAUUGAAGAAUCAAGAAUAGAAAGAAAUGUGUCUCUACCAA